Ribosomal RNA from Methylotenera versatilis 301, 115 nucleotides. Lineage: Bacteria; Pseudomonadati; Pseudomonadota; Betaproteobacteria; Nitrosomonadales; Methylophilaceae. The record is from Rfam.
CUUGGCGGCCAUAGCGGUUUGGACCCACCCCUUCCCAUCUCGAACAGGGCCGUGAAACGAACCAGCGCCAAUGAUAGUAUGCUUUUUUGCAUGCGAAAGUAGGUCACUGCCAAGC